CGCAUCUGUGCAUGCAGCAUAUCAAUAAGCGGAGGAAAAGAAACUAACAAGGAUUCCCCUAGUAACGGCGAGUGAAGCGGGAAGAGCUCAAAUUUGAGAUCUUAAAGGGUUUCCCUUUACGAAUUGUAGUUUAAAGAAGUGUUUUCUGUUGAGGUUUUGGUAAAAGUUCUUUGGAAUAGGACAUCAUAGAGGGUGAGAAUCCCGUAUUUGACCUUUACUUUCAACUUUGUGAUACACUUUCAAAGAGUCGGAUUGUUUGGGAAUGCAGUCCAAAAUGGGUGGUAAAUUUCAUCUAAAGCUAAAUAUUGGCGAGAGACCGAUAGCGAACAAGUACCGUGAGGGAAAGAUGAAAAGAACUUUGAAAAGAGAGUUAAACAGUACGUGAAAUUGUCAAAAGGGAAGCGUUUGACACCAGUGUUGUUUUUCUGAAAAUCAAUUAAAGAACUGUUUAUGCUAAGUUGUUUAGACUUUAUCAGCUAUCUGUUUAGUUUUGAGCUUUUCUUUAAUGCACUUUUCAGUUAACAAGUCAACAUCAAUUUCUUUUGCUGUAAAAAAGCUUGAGGAAGGUGGCUUGAGAUUCGUCUUAAGUGUUUAUAGCCUCUUGCCUAUGCAGUCGGAGAGAUUGAGGUCUGCAGCGUAGAUCCUUCGGGGCUAAAUGCAUUUGUGCUAAGUUAUAGCAUUUUAUAGACAACUUGUUGACUAUGAUUUGUCUUGUAGCUUACUCGCUUAUGUUAUUUUACCUACGCUUAGGAUGUUGAAUCUGUGCGAGACUAC
Molecule: ribosomal RNA, 774 nt
Filed under: uncultured Neocallimastigales
Lineage: Eukaryota; Fungi; Neocallimastigomycota; Neocallimastigomycetes; Neocallimastigales
Description: partial large subunit ribosomal RNA
Rfam family: Eukaryotic large subunit ribosomal RNA
Source: RNAcentral